UUUUUUUUUUUUUUUUUUUUUCUUUUCUUCGGUAAGAAGAACGCUGGCGGCGUGCUUAAUACAUGCAAGUCGAGCCGACAGAUGGGAGCUUGCUCCCUGAUGUCAGCGGCGGACGGGUGAGUAACACGUGCGUAACCCGCCUGUAAGACUGUGAUAACUCCGGGAAACCGGGGCUAAUACCGGAUGCUUGAUUGAACCGCAUGGUUCAAUUAUAAAAGGUGGCUUUUAGCUACCACUUACAGAUGGACGCGCGGCGCAUUAGCUAGUUGGUGAGGUAACGGCUCACCAAGGCAACGAUGCGUAGCCGACCUGAGAGGGUGAUCGGCCACACUGGGACUGAGACACGGCCCAGACUCCUACGGGAGGCAGCAGUAGGGAAUCUUCCGCAAUGGACGAAAGUCUGACGGAGCAACGCCGCGUGAGUGAUGAAGGUUUUCGGAUCGUAAAACUCUGUUGUUAGGGAAGAACAAGUACCGUUCGAAUAGGGCGGUACCUUGACGGUACCUAACCAGAAAGCCACGGCUAACUACGUGCCAGCAGCCGCGGUAAUACGUAGGUGGCAAGCGUUGUCCGGAAUUAUUGGGCGUAAAGCGCGCGCAGGCGGUUUCUUAAGUCUGAUGUGAAAGCCCCCGGCUCAACCGGGGAGGGUCAUUGGAAACUGGGGAACUUGAGUGCAGAAGAGGAGAGUGGAAUUCCACGUGUAGCGGUGAAAUGCGUAGAGAUGUGGAGGAACACCAGUGGCGAAGGCGACUCUCUGGUCUGUAACUGACGCUGAGGCGCGAAAGCGUGGGGAGCGAACAGGAUUAGAUACCCUGGUAGUCCACGCCGUAAACGAUGAGUGCUAAGUGUUAGAGGGUUUCCGCCCUUUAGUGCUGCAGCAAACGCAUUAAGCACUCCGCCUGGGGAGUACGGUCGCAAGACUGAAACUCAAAGGAAUUGACGGGGGCCCGCACAAGCGGUGGAGCAUGUGGUUUAAUUCGAAGCAACGCGAAGAACCUUACCAGGUCUUGACAUCCUCUGACAACCCUAGAGAUAGGGCUUCCCCUUCGGGGGCAGAGUGACAGGUGGUGCAUGGUGUCGUCAGCUC
Molecule: ribosomal RNA, 1087 nt
Filed under: Bacillus haynesii
Lineage: Bacteria; Bacillati; Bacillota; Bacilli; Caryophanales; Bacillaceae
Description: bacterial SSU rRNA
Rfam family: Bacterial small subunit ribosomal RNA
Source: RNAcentral